UUACAAACUCGAUGCUAACUUCUUUCAUACUUGUAAGCUUUAACUUGAAACACCCAAGUACUCUACAUUUUAUAAUAAACUAGGAUUAGUACCCGCCGCAAUGCGGCGGGCAAACCAUGCCAUAAUUUGCAAACUUAGACCUCAAACCAAGUUAACUUGCUCAUAAAGUCAAAGCCAAAAGCAAAUGUAAAUUAAGCUAUGGCUAAAAAAACACCCAGAGUUCAAGUUUCUAAUAAGUACAACUUUUUGUAGCAUCUGCAACUAAGACUUCAGAAGGUUUUCCAUGUGGGCCUGCAUAAAAAAAGAUGCUAAGUGUUCGUAAUCCUCCGCGAAAAAGGGACCUACACUAAGACACUGCUUGAUAGUAAAAUGCAGACGAACCGAACAUAAAACAAAAGAUACGAAUAAAGAAAAUGAAUCAA
This 422-nucleotide long non-coding RNA is filed under the name Helianthus annuus (common sunflower). RNAcentral's name for it is "sRNA HanXRQr2_Chr05g0236011". The record is from RNAcentral. Lineage: Eukaryota; Viridiplantae; Streptophyta; Magnoliopsida; Asterales; Asteraceae.